ACGGAGGGUGCAAGCGUUAAUCGGAAUUACUGGGCGUAAAGCGUGCGCAGGCGGUUUGUUAAGUCUGCUGUGAAAUCCCCGGGCUCAACCUGGGAAUGGCAGUGGAUACCGGCAAGCUGGAGUGCGGUAGAGGGUAGUGGAAUUCCCGGUGUAGCAGUGAAAUGCGUAGAGAUCGGGAGGAACACCAGUGGCGAAGGCGGCUACCUGGACCAGCACUGACACUGAGGCACGAAAGCGUGGGGAGCAAACAGGA
This 253-nucleotide ribosomal RNA is filed under the name uncultured prokaryote. Its description in RNAcentral is "partial 16S ribosomal RNA". It matches the Rfam family "Bacterial small subunit ribosomal RNA", at positions 525 to 777 of the family's 1533-position model. The record is from RNAcentral.